Molecule: ribosomal RNA, 508 nt
Filed under: uncultured Bacteroidota bacterium
Lineage: Bacteria; Pseudomonadati; Bacteroidota
Description: bacterial SSU rRNA
Rfam family: Bacterial small subunit ribosomal RNA
Source: RNAcentral
UGACGGCCCUAUGGGUUGUAAACUGCUUUUAUAAGGGAAUAAAGUGAGUCUCGUGAGACUUUUUGCAUGUACCUUAUGAAUAAGGACCGGCUAAUUCCGUGCCAGCAGCCGCGGUAAUACGGAAGGUCCGGGCGUUAUCCGGAUUUAUUGGGUUUAAAGGGAGCGUAGGCCGGAGAUUAAGCGUGUUGUGAAAUGUAGACGCUCAACGUCUGCACUGCAGCGCGAACUGGUUUCCUUGAGUACGCACAAAGUGGGCGGAAUUCGUGGUGUAGCGGUGAAAUGCUUAGAUAUCACGAAGAACUCCGAUUGCGAAGGCAGCUCACUGGAGCGCAACUGACGCUGAAGCUCGAAAGUGCGGGUAUCGAACAGGAUUAGAUACCCUGGUAGUCCGCACGGUAAACGAUGGAUGCCCGCUGUUGGUCUGAAUAGGUCAGCGGCCAAGCGAAAGCAUUAAGCAUCCCACCUGGGGAGUACGCCGGCAACGGUGCAACUCAAAGGAAUUGACGGA